UGAAGUUCUUCGCGGAGUGUGACCAGCCUU
This 30-nucleotide non-coding RNA is filed under the name Mus musculus (house mouse). Lineage: Eukaryota; Metazoa; Chordata; Mammalia; Rodentia; Muridae. The record is from RNAcentral.